GCCGAGGUGGUGGAAUUGGUAUACACGCGGGUCUCAAAAACCCGUGAGGGCAACCUCAUGCGGGUUCGACCCCCGCCCUCGGCA
RNAcentral lists this transfer RNA (84 nucleotides) under Candidatus Omnitrophota bacterium. RNAcentral's name for it is "tRNA-Leu". It matches the Rfam family "tRNA". From Rfam's summary of the family: Transfer RNA (tRNA) molecules are approximately 80 nucleotides in length. Their secondary structure includes four short double-helical elements and three loops (D, anti-codon, and T loops). Lineage: Bacteria; Pseudomonadati; Candidatus Omnitrophota. The record is from RNAcentral.